RNAcentral lists this ribosomal RNA (551 nucleotides) under uncultured Sphingomonas sp. RNAcentral describes it as "bacterial SSU rRNA". It matches the Rfam family "Bacterial small subunit ribosomal RNA", at positions 53 to 651 of the family's 1533-position model. The record is from RNAcentral. Lineage: Bacteria; Pseudomonadati; Pseudomonadota; Alphaproteobacteria; Sphingomonadales; Sphingomonadaceae.
ACAUGCAGUCGAACGAAGGCUUCGGCCUUAGUGGCGCACGGGUGCGUAACGCGUGGGAAUCUGCCCCUUGGUUCGGAAUAACAGUUGGAAACGACUGCUAAUACCGGAUGACGACGUAAGUCCAAAGAUUUAUCGCCGAGGGAUGAGCCCGCGUAGGAUUAGGUAGUUGGUGUGGUAAAGGCGCACCAAGCCGACGAUCCUUAGCUGGUCUGAGAGGAUGAUCAGCCACACUGGGACUGAGACACGGCCCAGACUCCUACGGGAGGCAGCAGUGGGGAAUAUUGGACAAUGGGCGAAAGCCUGAUCCAGCAAUGCCGCGUGAGUGAUGAAGGCCUUAGGGUUGUAAAGCUCUUUUACCCGGGAUGAUAAUGACAGUACCGGGAGAAUAAGCUCCGGCUAACUCCGUGCCAGCAGCCGCGGUAAUACGGAGGGAGCUAGCGUUAUUCGGAAUUACUGGGCGUAAAGCGCACGUAGGCGGCUUUGUAAGUAAGAGGUGAAAGCCCAGAGCUCAACUCUGGAAUUGCCUUUUAGACUGCAUCGCUUGAAUCAUG